GGAUAGGCAUGCAAGUCGAACGAACUUUUUUUGUUCAGAGAUGCGAUUAUAUCAAGUCAAAGAUUUUGAAAAGUUAGUGGCGAACGAGGUAGUAAUACAUAGGAACUUCCCCCAGAGUCGUGAAUAAUCCGUCGAAAGACGGACUAAUACACGAUGGUCUCGCAAGAGUAAAGUUUUAACGCUCUGGGAAAGGCCUGUGCGAUAUCAGCUAGUUGGUAGUGUAAUGGACUACCAAGGCUAUGACGUCUAGGGGAGCUGAGAGGCUGACCCCCACCGAUGGUACUGAGACACGGACCAUACACCUACGGGUGGCUGCAGUCGAGAAUCUUCCACAAUGGACGAAAGUCUGAUGGAGCGACGCCGCGUGAUUGAUGAAGUCCCUCUGGGACGUAAAGAUCUUUUAUGAGGGAAGAAGUUUAUUGACUGUACCUCAUGAAUAAGAGGCUCCUAAUCUCGUGCCAGCAGGAGCGGUAAU
Molecule: ribosomal RNA, 475 nt
Filed under: uncultured bacterium
Lineage: Bacteria
Description: bacterial SSU rRNA
Rfam family: Bacterial small subunit ribosomal RNA
Source: RNAcentral